GAUGAACGCUGGCGGCAGGCUUAACACAUGCAAGUCGAGCGCCCCGCAAGGGGAGCGGCAGACGGGUGAGUAACGCGUGGGAAUCUACCCAUCCCUACGGAAUAGCUCCGGGAAACUGGAAUUAAUACCGUAUACGCCCUACGGGGGAAAGAUUUAUCGGGGAUGGAUGAGCCCGCGUUGGAUUAGCUAGUUGGUGGGGUAAAGGCCUACCAAGGCGACGAUCCAUAGCUGGUCUGAGAGGAUGAUCAGCCACAUUGGGACUGAGACACGGCCCAAACUCGUACGGGAGGCAGCCGUGGGGAAUAUUGGACAAUGGGGGCGACCCUGAUCCAGCCAGGCCGCGUGAGUGAUGAAGGCCUUAGGGUUGUAAAGCUCUUUCACCGGGGAAGAUAAUGACGGUACCCGGAGAAGAAGCCCCGGCUAACUUCGUGCCAGCCGCCGCCGUAA
Molecule: ribosomal RNA, 447 nt
Filed under: uncultured bacterium
Lineage: Bacteria
Description: partial 16S ribosomal RNA
Rfam family: Bacterial small subunit ribosomal RNA
Source: RNAcentral